This 954-nucleotide ribosomal RNA is filed under the name Triticum aestivum (bread wheat). RNAcentral's name for it is "partial small subunit ribosomal RNA". Lineage: Eukaryota; Viridiplantae; Streptophyta; Magnoliopsida; Poales; Poaceae. The record is from RNAcentral.
AUGCUCGGUGGAUGUACCGCCCACUCCAGGUUCAAAAUUCCGGUUAAGCUCAUGGAUAAUAGCAUCCGCAGCUUCACCAAGCAGAGUGGUACUGCGGAGUUGCUUCGGAGAGCAUCUCUCAUAAUUUGGGAUGAGGUUACCAGGACGAAGCGUCAAGCAAUUGAGGCACUUGAUAGGUCACUACAGGAUAUCAUGGGAUGUGUUAUGCCAUUUGGGGGGAAGGUUGUGGUGUUUGGAGGGGAUUUUAGGCAGGUCCUUCCCGUGGUCCCGCGUGGGACAAGAGCACAAAUCACUGACGCCACGCUGCAAAGAUCAUAUCUAUGGGAGAGAAUUAGACAAAUACGCCUCAUGCGUAAUAUGAGAACACAGACUGACCCGUGGUUCUCCAAAUACCUCUUGAGAAUUGGCAAUGGAACGGAGGAGACGAUUAGUCAUGAUUAUGUGCGUCUGCCUGAUGACAUUUUGAUAGGUUACACACCUGGUGACGCACCAGUCAUGAAGCUUAUUGAACACGUGUUCCCAUCUCUUCAUGAGAACGCAUCAUCCAGUGCCUACAUGAGCACACGUGCUAUUCUUUCUACCAAGAAUGAGCAUGUGGACAACCUAAAUGCAAAGAUGAUUGACAGAUUUCCCGGCCAAGAAAAGGUAUACUAUAGCUUUGAUUCUGUCAAUGAUGAUACACGCAAUAACUACCCAAUUGACUAUCUGAACAACCACACUCCAAAUGGCUUGCCUCCCCAUAUUUUGAAAGUUAAAGUUAAUUGUCCUAUCAUUCUGCUCCGGAAUCUCGAUCCUAAUAAUGGACUUUGCAAUGGAACGAGAUUGAUGAUUAGAGCUUUCCAAAAUAACGCAAUCGACGCGGAGAUUGUUGGUGGACAACAUGCUGGAAAGAGAGUGUUCAUCCCUAGGAUCCCGAUGGCACCCUCGGAGGAUAUUUCACUUCUUUCAAGUUGA